GAUGAACGCUGGCGGCGUGCUUAACACAUGCAAGUCGAACGAUGAAGCCCAGCUUGCUGGGUGGAUUAGUGGCGAACGGGUGAGUAACACGUGAGUAACCUGCCCUUAACUCUGGGAUAAGCCUGGGAAACUGGGUCUAAUACCGGAUAGGAGCGUCCACCGCAUGGUGGGUGUUGGAAAGAUUUAUCGGUUUUGGAUGGUCUCGCGGCCUAUCAGCUUGUUGGUGAGGUAAUGGCUCACCAAGGCGACGACGGGUAGCCGGCCUGAGAGGGUGACCGGCCACACUGGGACUGAGACACGGCCCAGACUCCUACGGGAGGCAGCAGUGGGGAAUAUUGCACAAUGGGCGAAAGCCUGAUGCAGCGACGCCGCGUGAGGGAUGACGGCCUUCGGGUUGUAAACCUCUUUCAGUAGGGAAGAAGCGAAAGUGACGGUACCUGCAGAAGAAGCACCGGCUAACUACGUG
Molecule: ribosomal RNA, 466 nt
Filed under: uncultured bacterium
Lineage: Bacteria
Description: partial 16S ribosomal RNA
Rfam family: Bacterial small subunit ribosomal RNA
Source: RNAcentral